UUGAUGACGACGCAGCAGCGUCUCAUUCGUCGCGUUCAGGAAGCUCUUUGUUUUUUGAAAGGGUGCUUUUAUGAGAUAGAGCUUUUUUAGAUAAUGCUGGGGAAGGUUUUCCGGUUUAUCGCGGAGGGCUUGAAGCUCAAUUGGUUAGAGCGCGCGCUUGAUAAGCGUGAGGUCGGAGGUUCAGGUCCUCCCAGGCCCACCAAUUUACCUAUCCAUUUGCCUUUAUCCGUUUAUUUGCCGAUUUAUCGGUCCAUUGAAUUUAAGUGUUGGUAACGGUUUUGAUAAUGAUGAGAAAUCAUGCUUAUAAAAAAAUUCCUUAUAAAAGGCUUGUUUUUAAAAUGUGAGGCUUAUCCAUUUCACUUAUGCAAAAUAAACUUCAAGCGGACAAAUGCCAAAGGCUUUAAAUUUUGCAAAACACUUUUAAUUUUAAAGUGAUCCAAUUUCGUGAUCUCGAAUUUAAAAGUUUCAAAUGCUUUAUCCUUUUUUGGGGGCCGUAACUCACCUAGGAGAGCACCUGCUUUGCAAGCAGGAGGCCUUCUGGUCAAGCACCUGCUUUGCAAGCAAGGGGCGUCGGUUCAAC
RNAcentral lists this unclassified non-coding RNA (580 nucleotides) under uncultured Bartonella sp. RNAcentral describes it as "partial 16S-23S ribosomal RNA intergenic spacer". The stretch from base 126 to 199 matches the Rfam family "tRNA". The record is from RNAcentral. Lineage: Bacteria; Pseudomonadati; Pseudomonadota; Alphaproteobacteria; Hyphomicrobiales; Bartonellaceae.